Molecule: long non-coding RNA, 668 nt
Organism: Photinus pyralis (common eastern firefly)
Lineage: Eukaryota; Metazoa; Arthropoda; Insecta; Coleoptera; Lampyridae
Exons: 3
Source: RefSeq, a predicted model, not a curated record
AAUAAAAGCAUAAAGUUUCCUUGUCGUAACGAGGAUGCAAAAUUACUGCACCCAUAGCUACCUACCUUCGUGUAAUCUGAAUUCCCAUUAAAAUGGUAAAACAUUGUUAUUUAGUGUCGACGUUAAUAAACAAUUACCAGUUUUACUUUAGCAAUUUACCUACCGCUAAAUGUACCACGGCUAGUUUCAGUGCCAAUAGAAGUUCAAGAAGUACCCAAAAAUUGAGUACUAUUUUGUGCCGGGUUUUAAGCGAAAUCCACAAAAAUGCGAUUUGCGAGUGAACGGGACGUCGCGUCGGAAGUGAAGGGGACGUCGCAGGUGGGUACCGAAAAAAGGGAGUAUGGUAACCCCAGACGAGAUUCUUACUGAUGGUGGAGUCAAUACUUCAAACUCGAAUUGCGGGUGAACGGGGCAUCUGAAUUGGGUAUCGACAAAGGAAAUAAAAUGGCUAAUAAAACACUGAUCUACCACACAAAAAUGCGCUUCGAUCUCACACGAGGACUUUGAUAAUUUUUUGUAAAACUUUUAAAACCACAGACAGGCUCAAUCUAGUUGCGUUUAUGAGAUACAGGGUGAAAACGAAAAUAUUGACUAGUUUUAGGUAGAAUCCAGUGGCGUACUCAGAGAAAAUUUGUACCACCUUUUCUGAAAUUUCACCAAAAGUUGGC